GCGAGCAGGUGCGAAAGCAGGUCAUAGUGAUCCGGUGGUUCUGAAUGGAAGGGCCAUCGCUCAACGGAUAAAAGGUACUCCGGGGAUAACAAGCUGAUACCGCCCAAGAGUUCAUAUCGACGGCGGUGUUUGGCACCUCGAUGUCGGCUCAUCACAUCCUGGGGCUGAAGUAGGUCCCAAGGGUAUGGCUGUUCGCCAUUUAAAGUGGUACGCGAGCUGGGUUUAGAACGUCGUGAGCCAGUUCGGUCCCUAUCUGCCGUGGGCGCUGGAGAACUGAGGGGGGCUGCUCCUAGUACGAGAGGACCGGAGUGGACGCAUCACUGGUGUUCGGGUUGUCAUGCCAAUGGCACUGCCCGGUAGCUAAAUGCGGAAGAGAUAAGUGCUGAAAGCAUCUAAGCACGAAACUUGCCCCGAGAUGAGUUCUCCCUGAGACUUAGAGUCUCCUGAAGGAACGUUGAAGACGACGACGUUGAUAGGCCGGGUGUGUAAGCGCAGCGAUGCGUUGAGCUAACCGGUACUAAUGAACCGUGAGGCUUAACCUUACAACGCCGAAG
Molecule: ribosomal RNA, 554 nt
Filed under: Escherichia coli
Lineage: Bacteria; Pseudomonadati; Pseudomonadota; Gammaproteobacteria; Enterobacterales; Enterobacteriaceae
Description: bacterial LSU rRNA
Rfam family: Bacterial large subunit ribosomal RNA
Source: RNAcentral